Molecule: ribosomal RNA, 388 nt
Filed under: uncultured bacterium
Lineage: Bacteria
Description: bacterial SSU rRNA
Rfam family: Bacterial small subunit ribosomal RNA
Source: RNAcentral
GACGAACGCUGGCGGCGUGCUUAACACAUGCAAGUCGAGCGGUAAGGCCCUUUCGGGGGUACACGAGCGGCGAACGGGUGAGUAACACGUGGGUGACCUGCCCUCAGCUCUGGGAUAAGCCUGGGAAACUGGGUCUAAUACUGGAUAUGACUCCACGGUGCAUGUCGUGGGGUGGAAAGCCUUGUGCGGCUGAGGAUGGGCCCGCGGCCUAUCAGCUUGUUGGUGGGGUGANGGCCUACCAAGGCGACGACGGGUAGCCGGCCUGAGAGGGCGACCGGCCACACUGGGACUGAGACACGGCCCAGACUCCUACGGGAGGCAGCAGUGGGGGAAUCUUGCGCAAUGGGCGAAAGCCUGACGCAGCGACGCCGCGUGAGGGAUGACGGCC